Molecule: transfer RNA, 68 nt
Filed under: Aedes aegypti (yellow fever mosquito)
Lineage: Eukaryota; Metazoa; Arthropoda; Insecta; Diptera; Culicidae
Rfam family: tRNA
About the family: Transfer RNA (tRNA) molecules are approximately 80 nucleotides in length. Their secondary structure includes four short double-helical elements and three loops (D, anti-codon, and T loops). Further hydrogen bonds mediate the characteristic L-shaped molecular structure. tRNAs have two regions of fundamental functional importance: the anti-codon, which is responsible for specific mRNA codon recognition, and the 3' end, to which the tRNAs corresponding amino acid is attached (by aminoacyl-tRNA synthetases). tRNAs cope with the degeneracy of the genetic code in two manners: having more than one tRNA (with a specific anti-codon) for a particular amino acid; and 'wobble' base-pairing, i.e. permitting non-standard base-pairing at the 3rd anti-codon position.
Source: Rfam by way of RNAcentral
GGCUCGGUAGCUUAGUUGGUAAAUCGCUUGUCUAGCAAAAGUCCUGAGUUCGAAUCCCAGCCGAGCAC